GACGAACGCUGGCGGCGUGCUUAACACAUGCAAGUCGAACGGAAAGGCCCUGCUUUUGUGGGGUGCUCGAUUGGCGAACGCGUGAGUAUCACGCGAGUAACCUGCCCCUGACUUUGGGAUAACUUCAGGGAACUGGGGCUAAUACCCGAUAGGAGCUCCUGCUGCAUGGUGGGGGUUGGAAAGAGUCGGCGGUUGGGGAUGGACUCGCGGGUUAUCCGCUUGUUGGUGUGGUAGUGGCUUUCCAAGGCUUUGAAGGGUAGCCGGCCUGAGAGGGUGACCGGCCACAUUGGGACUACGAUACGGAGCAGACUCCUACGGGAGGCAGUGGUGGGGAAUAUGGCAGAAUGGGCGGAAGCGUGAGGCAGCAACGCCGCGUGCGGGAUGAUGGGCUUCGGGUUGUAAACCGAUUUCGCCUGUGACGAGGAGUGAGUGACGGUAAUGGGUAAAGAAGCACCGGCUAACUACGUG
Molecule: ribosomal RNA, 468 nt
Filed under: uncultured bacterium
Lineage: Bacteria
Description: partial 16S ribosomal RNA
Rfam family: Bacterial small subunit ribosomal RNA
Source: RNAcentral